GCCUGACCAGCCAUGCCGCGUGCAGGAUGACGGUCCUAUGGAUUGUAAACUGCUUUUGUACGGGAAGAAACACUCCGACGUGUCGGAGCUUGACGGUACCGUAAGAAUAAGGAUCGGCUAACUCCGUGCCAGCAGCCGCGGUAAUACGGAGGAUCCAAGCGUUAUCCGGAAUCAUUGGGUUUAAAGGGUCCGUAGGCGGUCUGGUAAGUCAGUGGUGAAAGCCCAUCGCUCAACGGUGGAACGGCCAUUGAUACUGCUGGACUUGAAUUACUGGGAAGCAACUAGAAUAUGUAGUGUAGCGGUGAAAUGCUUAGAGAUUACAUGGAAUACCAAUUGCGAAGGCAGGUUGCUACCAGUGGAUUGACGCUGAUGGACGAAAGCGUGGGUAGCGAACAGGAUUAGAUACCCUGGUAGUCCACGCCGUAAACGAUGGAUACUAGCUGUUGGGAGCAAUCUCAGUGGCUAAGCGAAAGUGAUAAGUAUCCCACCUGGGGAGUACGUUCGCAAGAAUGAAACUCAAAGGAAUUGACGGGGGCCCGCACAAGCGGUGGAGCAUGUGGUUUAAUUCGAUGAUACGCGAGGAACCUUACCAAGGCUUAAAUGCAGACUGACCGAUUUGGAAACAGAUCU
RNAcentral lists this ribosomal RNA (630 nucleotides) under Flavobacterium sp. So3Ps_1731. RNAcentral describes it as "bacterial SSU rRNA". It matches the Rfam family "Bacterial small subunit ribosomal RNA", at positions 381 to 1013 of the family's 1533-position model. Lineage: Bacteria; Pseudomonadati; Bacteroidota; Flavobacteriia; Flavobacteriales; Flavobacteriaceae. The record is from RNAcentral.